This 30750-nucleotide long non-coding RNA is filed under the name Sorghum bicolor (sorghum). Its description in RNAcentral is "long non-coding RNA (SBIC_LNC004803)". The record is from RNAcentral. Lineage: Eukaryota; Viridiplantae; Streptophyta; Magnoliopsida; Poales; Poaceae.
GGCUUAUGGGACGAACACAAGAACACUCAAAACUAAGGGUAGAUGUGAACGUAAUGGUAUACCUAAAGCUUUGAUUACCACUUGAUGAGAACAAGGGUAGCCUGAUCUUCCGAAAGGUUCUGGUAACUCUUGUUUUGGUAGAGACGAGAAACAAAUCGAUCCGGCUUCCGAGCAACACGAUCUAAAACCCUGUAAUUUUUUUAUUUUUUUGAUAUUUAUCUUUUACUUAGGAGCACUAAAGAAGUAACCACAGAAAAUUUGAGCUUAAACAAGUGAAAGACGUGGCCUGUGGAAUUUUCUAAAGAUUGCAAAAAAUUUAAAAAAACUUCACGAGGUGAAAACUAAAAUUUCGGAGGCGAAUUUUAGAUUCUGAAAUUUCCAAACCCCCUAGAGGUAUGGACAGACACAUCUAGAAAUUUUUUCUUAUCGAUUUUGAUAUAUGGAACGUUGAAAUUGGAGUUCGUAUGCCAAAGUUAUGGGUGUUUUACGAACGGACUCCGAAUUAGAGGACAAAACGGUCCGAAAGUGGGAAAAAUUUGCGGCGGUGGCUAGAAAUUGAUAGAAAUGGUGGGGAAAAACACACGAACUGGAGUCUAACAAGACCUAACGAGCAACAAGACCUCGACCAAGACACAAACUCAACACUACGGACUCUGAAACUGAAAUAUGCAAAGGCUAUGGCGCAGAAGGGUUGUAGGACAGGAAAACGAUAUGGCACUGGACUUAUGGAACGAACAUAAGAACACUCGAAACUAAGGGUAGAUGUGAACCUAACGGUAUACCUGAAGCUUUGAUUACCACUUGAUGAGAACAAAGGUGGCCUGAUCUUCCAAAACGUUCUGGUAACUCUCGAUUUGGUGCAGACGAGACACAAAUCGAUCCGGCUUCCGAACAACACGAUCCGAAACCCUACAAUGUUUUUUAUUUUUUUGAUAUUUUUCAUUUACUUAAGAGCACUAAAGAUGUAACCACAGAAAAUUUGAGCUUAAACUAGUGAAAGACGUGGCCUUGGAAUUUUCCGAAGAUUGCGAAAAAUGUGAAAAAACCUUCAUGAGGUGAAAACUCAAACUUCGGAGGCAAAUUUGGAGAUUCUAAAAUUUUCAAACCCGCCAAAGGCACUAAAGGCAUGGAUAGACAGAUCCAAAUUUUUUUUGAUCGAUUUUGAUAUAUGGAACGUUGAAAUCGGAGUUCGUAUGCGAAAGUUAUAGCUGUUUUACGAACGGACUCCAAAUUAGAGGACAAAACGGUCCGAAAGUGGGAAAAAUUUGCGGUGGUGGCUAGAAAUUGAUGGAAACGGUGGGAAAAAACACACGAACUGGACUCUAACAAGACCUAACCAGCAACAAGACCUCGACAAGGCCACAAACUCAACAAUGCAGACUCUAAAACUGAAAUAUGCAAAGGCUGUGGCGCGGAAGGGUUGUAGGACCGGAAAACGAUAUGGCACUGGACUUGUGGGACAAACACAAGAACACUUGAAACUAAGGGUAGAUGUGAACCUAGUGGUAUACUUGAAUCUUUUAUUACCACUUGAUGAGAACAAGGGUGGCCCGAUCUUCCGAAGUGUUGUGGUAACUCUCGAUUUGGUGGAGACGAGACACAAAUCGAUCCGGCUUCUGAGCAACACAAUCCAAAACCCUGCAAUUUUUUUAUUUUUUUGAUAUAUUUCUUUCACUUAGGAGCACUAAGGAAGUAACCACAAAAAAAAUUGAGCUUAAACAAGUGAAAGACGGCCUGUGGAAUUUUCUCAAGAUUGUGAUGUGAAAAAAACAUCACGAGGUGAAAACUCAAACUUCGGAGGCAAAUUUGGAGAUUCAAAAAAUUUCAAACCCACUAAAGGCGUGGAUAGACAUAUCCAAAGAAAUUGUCUGAUCGAUUUUGAAAUAUGGAACGUUGAAAUCAGAGUUCGUAUGUGAAAGUUAUGGUUGUUUUACGAACGGACUCCAAAUUAGAGGACAAAACGGUCCGAAAGUGAGAAAAAUUUACGGCGGUGGCUAGAAAUUGAUAAAAACGGUAGGGAAAAAAUACACGAACUGGACUCUAACAAGACCUAACCAGUAACAAGACCUCGACCAGGACACAAACUCAACACUGCAGACUAUGAAAUUGAAAUAUGCAAAGGCUAUGGCGCGGAAGGGUUGUAGGAUAGGAAAACGAUAUGGCACUGGACUUAUGGGACAAACACAAGAACACGUGAAACUAAGGGUAGAUGUGAACCUAACGGUAUACCUGAAGCUUUGAUUACCACUUGAUGAGAAGAAGGGUGGCCCGAUCUUCCGAAGUGUUCUGAUAACUCUCGAUUAGGUGGAGACGAGAUACAAAUCGACCCGGCUUCCGAGCAACACAAUCCAAAACCCUGUAAUUUUUUAUUUUUUUGAUAUUUUUCUUUUACUUAGGAGCACUAAGGAAGUAACCACAAAAAAUUUGAGCUUAAACAAGUGAAAGACGUGGCCCAUGGAAUUUUCUCAAGAUUGCGAAAAUGUGAAAAAAACUUCACGAGGUGAAAACUCAAACUUUGGAGGCGAAUUUGGAGAUUCAAAUUUUUUCAAACCCACUAAAGGCAUGGAUAGACAUAUCCAAAAAAAUUUUCUGAUUGAUUUUAUUAUAUCGAACGUUGAAAUCAGAGUUCGUAUGCGAAAGUUAUGGUUGUUUUACGAACGGACUCCAAAUUAGAGGACAAAACGGUCCGAAAGUGGGAAAAAUUUGCGGCGGUGGCUAGAAAUUGAUGAAAACAGUGGGGAAAAAACACUGGACUCUAACAAGACCUAACCAGCAACAAGACCUCGACCAAGACACAAACUCAACACUGCAGACUCUGAAAUUGAAAUAUGCAAAGGCUAUGGCGCGGAAGGGUUGUAGGACAGGAAAACGAUAUGGCACUGGACUUAUGGGGCGAACAUAAGAACACUCGAAACUAAGGGUAGAUGUAAAGUAACGGUAUACCUGAUGCUUUGAUUACCACUUGAUGAGAACAAGAGUGGCCCGAUCUUCCGAAAGGUUCUGCUAACUCUCGAUUUGGUGGAGACAAGACACAAAUCGAUGCGGCUUCCAAACAACACGAUCCAAAACUCUGCAUUUUAUUUAUUUUUUUGAUAUUUUUCUUUUACUUAGGAGCACUAAAGGAGUAAGCACAGAAAAUUUGAGGUUAAACAAGUGAAAGACGUGGCCUGCAAAAUUUUCUGAAGAUUGAGAAAAAUGUGAAAAAGACUUUACGAGGUGAAAACUCAAACUUUGGAGGCAAAUUUAGAGAUUGUAAAAUUUUCAAACCCGCCAGACACGGGGACAGACAGAACAGAAAUUUUUUCUAGUCGAUUUUGAUAUAUGAAUGUUGAAAUCAGAGUUCGUAUGCGAAACUUAUGACUGUUUUACGAACGGACUCCGAAUUAGAGGACAAAACAGUGCGAAAGUGGGAAAAAUUUAAGGCGGUGCUAGAAAUUAAUGGAAACAUUGGGGAAAAACAUACGAACUAGACUCUAACAAGACCUAACAUGCAACAAGACCUCGACCAAGACACAAACUCAACACUGCAGACUCUAAAACUGAAAUAUGCAAAGGCUAUGGCGUGGAAAGGUUCUACGACAGGAAAACGAUAUGGCACUGAACUUAUGGGACGAACACAAGAACACUCGAAACUAAGGGUAGAUGUGAACCUAACGGUAUACCUGAAGUUUUGAUUACCACUUGAUGAGAACAAGGGUGGCCCGAUCUUGCGAAAGGUUCUGGUAACUCUCGAUUUUGUGGAGACGAGACACAAAUCGAUCUGGAUUCCGAACAACAGGAUCUGAAACCCUGCAAUUUUUUUAUUUUUUUGAUAUUUUUCUUUUACUUAGGAGCACUAAACAAGUAACCAUAGAAAAUUUGAGCUUAAACAAGUGAAAGAUGUGGCCUGCUGAAUUUUCUGAAGAUUGAGAAAAAUGUAAAAAAAAACUUCAUGAAGUGAAACUGAAACUUCGGAGGCAAAUUUGGAUAUUUUAAAAUUUUGAAACCCGCCAAAGAUGGGGAUAGACAGAUCUGAAUUUUUUCUCAUCAAUUUUGAUAUAUGGAACGUUGAAAUCGUAUUUCGUAAGCGAAAGUUAUGGCUGUUUUACGAACGGAUUCCGAAUUAGAGGACAAAACGGUGCGAAAGUGAGAAAAAUUUGCGGCGGUGGCUAGAAAUUGAUGGAAACGGUGGGGAAAUACACACGAACUGGACUCUAACAAGACCUAACCAGCAACAAGACCUCGACUAUGACACAAACUCAACACUGUGGACUCUAAAACUGAAAUAUGCAAAGGCUAUGGCGCGGAAGGGUUGUAGGACUGGAAAACGAUAUGGCACUGGACUUAUGGGACGAACACAAGAACACUUGAAACUAAGGGUAGAUGUAAAUCUAAUGGUAUACCUGAAGCUUUGAUUACAGAACAAGGGUGGCCCGAUCUUCCGAAAGGUUCUGGUAACUCUCGAUUUGGUGGAGACGAGACACAAAUCGAUCCAGCUUCCGAGCAACACGAUCUGAAACCCUGUAAUUUUUUUAUUUUUUUGAUAUUUUUCAUUUACUUAGGAGCACUAAAGAUGUAACCACAUAAAAUUUGAGGUUAAACAAGUGAAAGACGUGGCCUGCAAAAUUUUCUGAAGAUUGAGAAAAAUGUGAAAAAACUUCACGAGAUGAAAACUCAAAUUUCGGAUGCGAAUUUGAAGAUUAUAAAAUUUUCAAACUCGCCACAGGCAGGGAUAGACACAUCCAAAAAGUUUUUCUGAUCGAUUUUGAUAUAUGGAACAUUGAAAUCGGAGUUCGUAUGUGAAAGUUAUGGCUGUUUUACGAACGGGCUCCGAAAUAGAGGACAAAACGGUCCGAAAGUGGGAAAAAUUUGCGGCGGUGGCCAGAAAUUGAUGGAAAUAGUGUGGAAAAACACAUGAAAUGGACUCUAACAAGACCUAACCAGCAACAAGACCUCGACCAGGACACAAACUCAACACUGCAGUCUCUAAAACUGAAAUAUGCAAAGGCUAUGGCACGAAAGGAUUGUAGGACAGGAAAACAAUAUGGCACUGGACUUAUGGGAUGAACAUAAGAACACUCGAAACUAAGGGUAGAUGUGAACCUAAUGGUAUACCUGAAGCUUCGAUUACCACUUGUUGAGAACAAGGGUGGCCCGAUCUUCCGAAAGUUUAUGGUAACUCUCGAUUUGUUGGAGACGAGACACAAAUCGAUCCGGCUUCCGAACAACACGAUCUGAAACUCUACAAUUUUUUUAUUUUUUUGAUAAUUUUCUUUUACUUAGGAGCACUAAAGAAGUAACCACAGAAAAUUUGAGCUUAAACAAGUGAAAGACGUGGCCUGCUGAAUUUUCUGAAGAUUAAGAAAAAUAUAAAAAAACUUCACUAGGUGAAAACUCAAACUUCGGAGGCAAAUUUGGAGAUUUUAAAAUUUUCAAACCCGCCAAAGAUGGGGAUAGACACAUCCGUAAUUUUAUUCUGAUCGAUUUUAUAUAUGGAACAUUGAAAUCGGAGUUCGUAUGCGAAAGGUAUGGCUGUUUUACGAACAGACUCCAAAUUAGAGGACAAAACGGUGCGAAAGUGGGAAAAAUUUGCGGCGGUGGCUAGAAAUUGAUGGUAACAGUGAGAAAAUACACACGAACUGGACUCUAACGAGACCUAACUAGCAACAAGACCUCGACUAGGACACAAACUCAACACAGUGGACUCUGAAACUGAAAUAUGCAAAGGCUAUGGCGCGGAAGGGUUGUACGACAGGAUAACGAUAUGACACUCGACUUAUGGGACGAACACAAGAACACUCGAAACUAAGGGUAGAUGUGAACCUAACGGUAUAUCUGAAGCUUUGAUUACCACUUGAUGAGAACAAGGGUGGCCCGAUCUUCCGAAAGGUUCUGGUAUCUCUCGAUUUGCUGGAGACGAAACACAAAUCGAUCCGACUUCCGAGCAACACGAUCUGAAAGCCUGCAAUUUUUUUUUAUUUUUUUGAUAUUUUUCAUUUACUUAGGAGCACUAUGGAAGUAACCACAAAAAAAUUUGAGCUUAAACAAGUGAAAGACGUGGCCUGCGGAAUUUUCUGAAGAUUGCGAAAAAUGUGAAAUAACUUCACGAGGUGAAAACUCAAAUUUUGGAGGCGAAUUUGAAGAUCCUAAAAUUUUCAAACUCGCCAAAGGCAGGGAUAGACACAUCCAAAAAAUUUUUCUGAUCGAUUUUGAUAUAUGGAACAUUGAAAUCGGGGUUCGUAUGUGAAAGUUAUGGCUGUUUUAUGAACGGGCUCCGAACUAGAGGACAAAACGGUCCAAAAGUGGAAAAAAUUUGCGGCGGUGCCUGGAAAUUGAUGAAAACGGUGGGGAAAGACUCUGAAACUGAAAUAUGCAAAGGCUACGGCGCAGAAGGGUUGUAGGGUAGGAAAACGGUAUGGCACUGGACAUAUGGGACGAACACAAGAACACUCAAAACUAAGGGUAGAUGUGAACCUAAUGGUAUACGUGAAGCUUUGAUUACCACUUGAUGAAAACAAGGGUGGACCGAUCUUUCGAAAGGUUCUGGUAACUCGAUUUGGUAGAGACGAGACAAAAACCAAACCGGCCUCCGAACAACACGAUCCAAAAACCUACAAUUUUUUUUAUAAUUUUCUUUUACUUAGGAGCACUAAAGAAGUAACCAUAGAAAAUUUGAGCUUAAACAAGUGAAAGACGUGGCCUGCGGAAUUUUCUGAAGAUUGAGAAAAAUGUGAAAAAAACUUCAUGAGGUGAAAACUCAAUCUUUGGAGGUGAAUUUGGAGAUUUUAAAAUUUUCAAACCCGCCAAGCGCAGAUCCGAAAUUUUUUUCUCAUAGAUUUUGAUAUAUGGAACGUUGAAAUCGGAGUUCGUAUGCGAAAGUUACGGCUUUUUACGAACGGACUACGAAUUAGAGGACAAAACAGUGCGAAAGUGGGGAAAAUUUGCGGCGGUGGCUAGAAAUUGAUGGAAACGGUCAGGAAAUACAGACGAACUAGACUCCACAAACAACAAUGCGGACUCUGAAACUAAAAUAUGCAAAGGCUAUGGCGCGGAAGGGUUGUAGGACAAGAAAACGAUAUGGCACUGGACAUAUGGGUGUUGACGGUUCUUAAGUAUUAAUUUUAAUUAUCAAAUAAAUAAGAGAAAGGACCAAUAUGCAACCAACACCUAGAAUUAGGGUUUGAUCUGACAGAAUUCCACAAGUUUUGUUGUUUAUGUGUUUCUGCAGGGGGUUAUCAGGAAAUAAGGAAGAAAAGCCCACAUAUCGGGAUUACAUAGAGAUAUCAACGCACCGCACGAUUUUCUACCAUCUAGAAGACUCCAGAAGCCACGGGAAGAAGACGGAGGCCGAAAGGGGCCAGGCCCAGGGCGCCCGCCCCCCUCUGGAUUACAUUCGGGACUCUCUUCGCACGGGAUAUUCCACCGACCUAUUGGAUCAAGGAAAACAUAGUACCACCUCGCCUACCGACCCAAAAACGCAUAGAAGGGAAGGACUAUAUAAGGAGACCCCCCUGGCCCCUGGAGAAGACAUGAAGAAAUUAUCAUUGAGACUGAGGGGUGCCCUCGAAGGAAAACCUCUUCUCUAAUUAAUAUUUCUUUUUAGGCUUAGCAACCAAUGUAAGGUAGAAAUAGAUCUUCUAGUUUCUACUAGAUUGAGAGAGAUAGAGUGGAGGUGUAGAUUGGAGGAAGCCCGGCCUGUCGGUGUCUACUCCAAGCUUGUACCUGCAGGAUCAAGUUCUCCUAACCCGAAGCUUGCUCCUAGGAUUCUUCAGUAUUUCGACUUCUAAAUUCUAGUAAGUUCUUGUUUUAUUGUUCUUAUGGUUUAUGAGUUUACUUUAAUCUCUUCGCGUAGAGUUUAGAGUAAUCAUUGCUGGCGUAAACGUGGUGUUUAGGCUGGGGUACUCAUAGAUAUUCCCUGACUAGCUGGACCGUGGUAGUAGUGAGGAACGUGACAAUUCCGAGUUACCUUUGUAGAUCACAUCUCGUUAGCAGGAAGGAUAGGGUUUAUAGGUGCGGGUUGAACAUCCUUUGUGGUGUCUAGAUUCCGUUAGCCUCCCCAUUAGAACAAUAGAUUAUCCUUACCAAGGUUAGAAGGAGACUACGGUUGCAGUCUUCUCUAUUUAUCACUCACAUCGAAAGACAUUCUUUGUGCCUAAAGGUUAGUAGUAAUAGACCGGUUAGUCAGAUGCACUCUUUCUCCUAGUGGUAGAAAAAUAAAUACGAUACUCUGGAUAAUUUCCCGGGUGAAGUGCUCACCGAUAUCCGUGCGCUUGCGGAUCAAUUCCUUAUUGCGUUCCCAAAUAUCAACAAGCAUUUCUGGCGCCGUUGCCGGGGAGAAAGACGGUUGCUGAGAUAACCUGAGUCUUACUACUAGCUUGUAUCUAUACUUUUAUCUUUUCUUAUCUUUUAUAUUCUUUAUUUAUUUUCUUUAAUCUUACCUUAUGGAAAACCAAAAUUCUAAAUCGAUCCAUGAAUCUGCAAUCCCUUCAGCAACUGACCUUUUACCAUGGGAAUCAUCACAGCCUAUCCAAACAUCCCAGUAUAAGUUAAGUUCUAGGUUGAUUGCCAUGAUUCAAAACCUAUCUUUUUCGGGAAAGGAAGACGAAAACCCUUACCUUCAUAUUAGAGAUUUUGAGCAAACAUGUGAUUGUCUUCGCAUUGAAGGCAUUUCUGAUAAAACUUUACGUUGGAAGCUUUUUCCUUUUUCCUUAAGGGGAGAAGCUAGACAAUGGUACAGUCAGAAGGUAAGUCAACAACAAGGUGAAUGGGGAGUUUUACGAGCCAACUUUUGUCUAGAUUUCUAUUCCCUUGACCGUAUAGCCGACCUUAGACUCGAAGUCCUAUCUUUUAAACAAAAAGAUAAUGAAACUUUGGGAAAAUCCUGGAAACGUUUUUCUGAUCUUUUAGAAUCUGGUCCAAACCUUAAUCUUGAAGACCCUAUUCUUUUAUUCCACUUUUUCGAGGUCUUCAUAAAAAUCACAAACAAAUGCUGCACACAAUGUCUAGAGGUUCUUUCUUUUGCAUCCCUGCUGAUGAAGCUAGAGUGAUCCUAGAUAGAAUCCUAGAAGCUGAGAUGAAUAAUACCCUUCAUGAUGAAACCCACGAAGCCGAAGUAGACACUCUUCCAAAUUCUUCAGCUACUUUAGCUAUCCCAAGUUCUGAGCCACAAGAGGAAGAAAUUCUACCACCGGACUUCAUGCUGGAUAUAGAAUCCAAUCUUUUUGCCGAUUUUGGAAAUAUUUCAAACUACCAUUCUAUUGACAAACCCCAAAACGGUCAGUUUAGCAUUUAUUUGCCAAGUGAAUAUCAAUUGAGAGAGCUUAUCUCAGUCAUGAGUAGCGAAUGGUUGGAGGAAUCAGAGCUUUCCUCUGAUGUGAUCCGUUUGGACACACCCUCUAUAACUAUACGCUGUGCUUAUAAUUCUGAUCGAUUUAAUGCUCUUUAUAAUCCUGUUGUGGGGAUCAACGUCAUGUCUGAAUCUUUUGCACUUAAACUAUUUAAAAAGCUUGUCUUAACCCCCACAACAAAGGUCAUAAUGGAAUCUUCGGGACGGUUAGUCCCCAGUCUUGGAAUUAUUAAUGUCCUACCUCUUACGGUAGAAGGCUCCAUGGUUCAUUUGAACUUCUAUAUCUUUGAUACAUGGGACUUCGACCUGUUGAUAGGACAACCUUUUAGAAGACUCCUUUAUGAAGGUCAUACUGGAAAGCUACACAUUACUUUUGGAAAAACUUUUAAAUUCCCGAUAACAAUUUCACAAUCCUUAAACAAUAAGGCCGAGUCAUAUCUUUUGCCUGAUCCUAUGGAGGAGGUAAAGGCUGCAUCUCUAGAGCUUUUAGAUGAACCAGAUUUAGAAGACGAAACUCCUUUCUUCACUGAAGAAGAAGAUGAACCUUCUGAGCCUGAACCCUUAGAUGAGUUUGCAGAAGCACCUAGACCUCCCAUUGAACUUAAAACUUUACCACCCGGUCUUACCUAUGCUUUCUUAAACAAUAAUCCAGAGUUCCCUGUAAUCAUUAGCAAUAAACUCACUCAGGAUCAAACUCUGCGAUUAAUGACCAUUCUUGAAAAACAUCACUCAGUUUUUGGCUACUCACUUCAAGAUCUUACAGGAAUCAGUCCUAUGAUUUGUACCCAUCGUAUUCCAACAGAUCCUUCUGUUACACCCUCUCGAGAACCCCAACGUAGACUUAACAACACUAUGAGAGAGGUAGUUAAAAAGGAAGUUAUAAAGUUGCUGCAUGCAGGGAUUAUAUAUCCUGUGCCGCACAGUGAGUGGGUAAGCCCAGUGCAUGUUGUGCCUAAAAAGGGAGGCAUGACUGUUAUUAUGAAUGAAAAGAAUGAGCUAAUUCCGCAACGCACCGUCACAGGAUGGCGGAUGUGCAUAGACUAUAGAAAACUAAACAAAGCCACGAGAAAGAAUCACUUUCCUUUGCCUUUCAUAGAUGAGAUGCUAGAGCGGUUAGCAAACCAUUCGUUCUUCUGUUUCUUAGAUGGAUAUUCAGGAUAUCACCAAAUCCCGAUCCAUCCCGAUGAUCAAAGCAAAACCACUUUUACAUGCCCAUAUGGAACUUAUGCUUAUCGUAGAAUGUCUUUUAGGUUAUGUAAUGCACCAGCUUCUUUUCAAAGAUGCAUGAUGUCUAUAUUUUCUGAUAUGAUUGAAGAGAUUAUGGAAGUUUUCAUGGAUGAUUUCUCUAUUUAUGGAAAAACUUUUGAUAGUUGUAUUGAAAACUUAGACAAGGUUUUGGAAAGAUGUGAAGAAAAGCACUUAAUCCUUAAUUGGGAAAAAUGUCAUUUUAUGGUUAGGGAAGGAAUAGUGCUGGGACACCUAGUGUCUGAAAGAAGUAUUGAGGUAGACAAAGCUAAAAUUGAAGUAAUUGAACAACUACCUCCACCUGUGAACAUAAAAGGAAUUCGAAGCUUUCUUGGCCAUGCUGGUUUUUAUCGUAGAUUCAUAAAAGAUUUUUUAUUUAUUGCUAGACCACUUACUCUUUUGCUAGCCAAGGAUGCUCCUUUCGAAUUUGAUGAUGCAUGUCUAACAUCUUUCAAUUUAUUAAAGAAAGCACUCAACUCUACACCAAUCAUUCAACCCCCUAAUUGGUCGUUGCCUUUUGAAAUUAUGUGUGAUGCUAGUGAUUAUGCUGUGGGGGCAGUAUUGGGACAAACUAAAGAUAAGAAGCAUCAUGCAAUUGCUUAUGCCAGUAAAACUUUUACAGGAGCUCAACUUAAUUAUGCAACCACUGAAAAAGAGCUUCUGGCUGUUGUCUUUGCCAUUGAUAAAUUUAGAUCUUAUUUAGUUGGAGCUAAAAUAAUUGUUUACACUGAUCAUGCUGCACUAAAAUAUUUGCUCACUAAAAAAGAUGCUAAACCUCGUCUAAUUAGAUGGAUCUUAUUACUCCAAGAAUUUGACUUAGAAAUAAAAGAUAAAAAAGGAGUAGAAAAUUCUGUUGCAGAUCACUUGUCUAGAAUGUAUUUUAAGAGUCCAUAGGAAACCCCCAUUAAUGAUUCACUCCGGGACGACAUGCUCUACGGGAUUAACAGGUCUGACCCCUGGUAUGCAGAUAUUGUUAAUUUUAUGGUUUCAGGGUAUGUACCACCAGGAGCAAACAAGAAGAAGCUUAUUCAAGAAAGUCAUUCACAUAUAUGGGAUGAGCCAUACCUCUUCCGAGUAUGCUCUGAUGGCUUACUCAGGAGAUGUGUGACCACUGAGGAAGGAUGGAAGAUCAUCGACAGAUGUCAUUCAUCACCAUAUGGAGGCCACUAUGGAGCAUUCCGUACACAUUCAAAAAUCUGGCAGUGUGGAUUCUACUGGCCUACAAUGUAUGAAGACACGAAGCAAUAUAUCAGAAGAUGUGGGCCAUGUCAAAGACACGAAAACAUAAAUACAAGGGAUGCAAUGCCACUCACCAACAACCUUCAGAUUGAGCUCUUUGAUGUCUGGGGAAUAGACUACAUGGGUCCAUUUCCUCCAUCAAAGAAGUGUGAGUACAUCUUGGUGGCAGUUGACUAUGUCUCCAAGUGGGUAGAGGCAUUACCUUGCAAGCAUGCCGACAACGUCAGUUCAAAGAGGAUGUUUGAAGAAAUUAUAUUUCCAAGAUUUGGAGUUCCCAGAGUAGUGAUAAGUGAUGGAGGAGCACACUUCAUCGACAAACGCUUCAAGCAAUAUCUAUCAAGACAUGGAAUCCGUCACAACGUCGCUACCCCCUAUCAUCCUCACACAAGUGGCCAAGCAGAGACUUCCAACAAACAAAUCAAGAAUAUUCUUCAGAAGACAGUAAAUGAAAUGGGAACGGCGUGGAAAGACAAGUUACCCGAUGCACUCUGGGCAUACCGGACAGCAUACAAGACCCCAAUCGGAAUGUCUCCAUACCAAUUGGUGUACGGGAAGACUUGCCAUCUACCCGUUGAACUAGAGUUCAAAGCACACUGGGCCAUAAAGAGAUGGAAUAUGGACCUAGAUGUUGCUGGAGAUUAUAGAAGAAUGCAACUAUCAGAAUUGGAAGAAUGGCGAGAGAAGGCAUAUCACAACUCAAAGAUUUACAAAGAAAGAGUCAAAAGGUGGCAUGACAAGAGAAUCAAGAAGAAGGAGUUCACACCCGGAGAUAAGGUAUUACUUUUUAAUUCCAGGGUGAAGCUUUUCGGGCAUGGAAAACUCCGAAGCAAAUGGGAAGGACCAUUCAAGGUAAUUAAUUCAUAAUCCCACGGAGCUAUCACACUUCAAAAUAGCGAAGGUACGUUAUUCAAUGUAAAUGGUCAAUGUCUUAAAUUAUUUUUAGAGCCCAAUGAGGAAUUUGAAGAAAUAGACGUAGUCCAUUUUUACCUUCCCAUGGAGAAUUAGAGCCCGACACUUUUAGUCUGAUGUUUUUGGGUCAUAUAUAUAUUUUUCUAAAUAAUUUCGUAUCUAGAAACGCGCUCGGAAAAGUGGGCCCACAGAGGGGCCAGAGAGAGGGCGGGCGCCCAGCUCAGGUGGGCGGGCGCCCAGCUCCUGUUCCCCCUCGGUCCCGACUUUCUCUGUUAUGGAAAAUGCACUUAUGGUAAUUCGAAUAAUCCCUCGGAUGGAAAGUUUCGCACGCACGUCGACGGGAGAAACCCGAACAACCCAUAGAGGCACUUUUUGACCCCUAUAUAAACACACCCCUGACCUCAGUUUUCAAACACCAAGCCACCAAGCCUUCUCUCCUCCAAUUAGAGCUUGAUUAGUUCUCCUUCAAUUAGAGCUUGAUUAGUUCUUUGCUACUCCAAUGGCCGAGAAGUACCACGAUGAUUGGGAAGUCGUCCCCUUCAACCUCAACAUGGAGCCUGUGGAAGACCCCGAUGCCUGUGCUCUCAUCCCGGCCAACACAGAGCGACAGCUAGAAGCCAUGCCAUUACGCCAGCGCAGCUCUGCCCAAUCCUACCAUGCUCAACCAGUUCUCACCGCACCACCACAACCCCUACUCCUCAAAGGAUCAUCAUCCAAGACGAAGACCACCAAGGUGCCAAUCGGCACAAGGAUCCUUCCACCUAGACCCAAUGAGAGGGUCGUUGGAGUCAAGACCAACCGGAGCGGCAAGAUCAGCAGUGUUCGCUACACUACAGAGGAGGAAAGGCCUUACUUUGGAGGGAUUAGAGCAGCCAAAGUCUGUUUCAUCCCUCCAAAGGCAGCCCCGAAGCACGCUCUCAAUGCUUUUGAGACACCUCCCAAGCGUCGCAAGACUAUAAUGGAUAUUUAUGAGGAAGUUCGCAGACUAGAUAGAGUUAUCAUAGACCUCCAGUCCUCGAUUAAUUCCCUCACUAGGUAGCUCUCUAACCACAAAACCAUUAUACUAGGUCUUAGGCAGGAUCUUGCCAGUGCCAACAAGAAGAUCAAGGAAUUAGAGCGCCGCUAAGUUAUCUAGAUUAGACCUUGAGGCAAUACAUCUUAGUCAUUUAUCUUUAAAUUCAGUUUAGGUUUGAUAUUAUCAUCAGUUUACUAUUAUCAUCAGUUUGCUAUCAGUUUGCUACUAGUCUUUUGUAAUAAAUGCCUCAAGAUUAAUAAAGAGUAUUAUUAUUAUUAUGUCUUGUGUAUCUCUACUUAAUUUUUUGUGCAAGAAAGCAGAAAACAAGUAUGGGGGAGAUCCCUCGACAUGCCAAACACACUCCGACCACACCACUCCACGAUUCAGGUACACACUCUGCACACCUUACUUUACACAUACAUAUAUUUUGGAUUAUGCAGAUUACUGUUUCCGACAUGAUAAAUUAAAAAGAUUAAAAUAUUUCUAAUCAUGAUUAAUCUCAAUCUGUGAUAUUUCCUGAAAACUUGCAAUUAUUAUAAAAUCAUUUUAAAAACCCUGUGUUACUUAAGUCUUUGUGGAGUAUGUGAUGGUAGAGUAUGAGUUUCUUAUUCUUGAUAUCAUUGUUGCUUGGAGAAUUUAUUUCAAAAUAUUCAAAAUUCUAGCUACCAUCCUCAGUGUUUUAUAUGCCUGAUAAAACUGAAAAUAUUAAUUAUGAUUAUAAAAGCUAUCUAGUCUGUAUUGAGUUUGUUCAAAAUGAGUUAGACCCUUGUUGAGAGAUUUAUCAUGCUCCUCAGAUCAAGACAUUAUUUCAGAAAGAUUCACUCUUCCGAAGUAUUAUUGCAUUAGAGGCAUGAGCUAUGAAAAAAUAGAGAUAUUUUCGAGGAAAGAAAAAGGAGCAAGUGCUCGACAACCUCGCAGAAAAAAAUGGACAAGUGUCCGGCAGUAGAAUUAGGGGUACCUCGGUAUCCACCUAAAAAAAUGAUAGCCCAUGGUCCCUCUAAUAAGCAAUAUGCCAGCAAUAGUUGACAAAGAUUUUAAUUUCCAAUGUCUUUGAUCUAAGAGUAUGACAUUCCCCUCCCCGGAUCCCGUUUUGAUCAGGCAAUAAAUGCAAAGUAAGUAUGCUUGAGAAUUUUUGCAAAUUAAAACAACCUCAGUGAGAUAUAUAUAUAUAAAAUAAUGAGUGAUCUGAGAGAACCUAUGAGGAUAAAAAGGUAUGCUAACUUUCUUUCAAAAAUAUACAAAAGCUCCAAGUGACAGGAUUGAGAAGAAAGGAUCUUUACUCUUAACCAUAAACAUCCCUGACUAUGGUACACAGUGGAUUUUUAACACCCUGCAAAUAUAAAGAAUGUUUUAAAUGUUUACCCCAGAUAUUUUUCUUAACCAUCCUUUUCUCGAGGACGAGUAAAAGCCUAAGUAUGGGGGUAUUUGUUGACGGUUCUUAAGUAUUGAUUUUAAUUAUCAAAUAAACAAGAGAAAGGACCAAUAUGCAACCAACACCUAGAAUUAGGGUUUGAUCUGACAGAAUUCCAUGAGUUUUGUUGUUUAUGUGUUUCUGCAGGGGGUUAUCAGGAAAUAAGGAAGAAAAGCCCAAAUGUCGGGAUUACAUAGAGAUAUCAACGCACCGCACGAUUUUCUACCAUCUAGAAGACUCCAGAAGCCACGGGAAGAAGACGGAGGCCGAAAGGGGCCAGGCCCAGGGCGCCCGCCCUGGUGACCUGGGCGCCCGCCCCCCUCUGGAUUGCAUUCGGGACUCUCUUCGCACGGGAUAUUCCACCGACCUAUUGGAUCAAGGAAAACAUAGUACCACCUCGCCUACCGACCCAAAAACGUAUAGAAGGGAAGGACUAUAUAAGGAGACCCCCUGGCCCCUGGAGAAGACAUGAAGAAAUUAUCAUAGAGACUGAGGGGUGCCCUCGAAGGAAAACCUCUUCUCUAAUUAAUAUUUCUUUUUAGGCUUAGCAACCAAUGUAAGGUAGAAAUAGAUCUUCUAGUUUCUACUAGAUUGACAGAGAUAGAGUGGAGGUGUAGAUUGGAGGAAGCCCGGCCUGUCGGUGUCUACUCCAAGCUUGUACCUGCGGGAUCAAGUUCUCCUAACCCGAAGCUUGCUCCUAGGAUUCUUCAGUAUUUCGACUUCUAAAUUCUAGUAAGUUCUUGUUUUAUUGUUCUUAUGGUUUAUGAGUUUACUUUAAUCUCUUUGCGUAGAGUUUAGAGUAAUCAUUGCUGGCGUAAACGUGGUGUUUAGGCUGGGGUACUCAUAGAUAUUACCUGACUAGCUGGACCGUGGUAGUAGUGAGGAACGUGACAAUUCCGAGUUACCUUUGUAUAUCACAUCUCGUUAGCAGGAAGGAUAGGGUUUAUAGGUGCGGGUUGAACAUCCUUUGUGGUGUCUAGAUUCCGUUAGCCUCCCCAUUAGAACAAUAGAUUAUCCUUACCAGGGUUAGAAGGAGACUACGGUUGCAGUCUUCUCUAUUUAUCACUCACAUCGAAAGACAUUCUUUGUGCCUAAAGAUUAGUAGUAAUAGACCGGUUAGUCAGAUGCACUCUUUCUCCUAGUGGUAAAAAAAUAAAUACGAUACUCUGGAUAAUUUCCCGGUUGAAGUGCUCACCGAUAUCCGUGCGCUUGCGGAUCAAUUCCUUAUUGCGUUCCCAAAUAUCAACAAUGGGACGAACACAAGAACACUCGAAACUAAGGGUAGAUGUGAACCUAACGGCAUAUCUGAAUCUUUGAUUACCACUUGAUGAGAACAAGGGUGGCCCGAUCUUCCGAAAGGUUCUGGUAACACGAUUUGGUGGAAACGAGACACAAACCGAUACGGCUUCCGAACAACACGAGCCGAAACCCUGCAAUUUUUCUUAUUUUUUAAUAUUUUUCUUUUACUUAGGAUCACUAAAGAAGUAACCACAGAAAAUUUGAGCUUAAACAAGUGAAAGACGUGGCCUGCGGAAUUUUCUGAAGAUUGUGAAAAUUGUGAAAAAAACUUCAUGAGGUGAAAAAUCAAACUUCGGAGGUGAAUUUAAAGAUUCUAAAAUUUUCAAACCCACCAAAGGCGUGGAUAUAUAGAUCCAAAAUUUUUUUUCUAAUCGAUUUUGAUAUACGGAACGUUGAAACCUGAGUUCGUAUAUGAAAGUUAUGGCUGUUUUACGAACGGACUCCAAAUUAUAGGACAAAACGAUCCGAAAGUGGGAAAAAUUUGCGGUGGUGGCUAGAAAUUGAUGGAAAUGUUGGCGAAAAACACACAAACUGGACUCUAACAGGACCUAACUAGCAACAAGGCCUCAGCCAAGACACAAACUCAAUACUGCGGACUCUGAAACUGAAAUAUGCAAAUGCUAUGGCGCGGAAUGGUUGUAGGACAUGAACACGAUAUGGCAGUGGACUUAUGGAACGAACAUAAGAACACUCGAAACUAAGGGUAGAUGUGAACCUAACGGUAUACCUGAAGUUUUGAUUACCACUUGAUGAGAUCAAGGGUGGCCCAAUCUUCCGAAAGGUUCUGGUAACUCUUGAUUUGGUGGAGACGAGACACAAAUCGAUCCGGCUUCCGAACAACACGAUCCGAAUCCCUGCAACUUUUUUUUAUUUUUUUGAUAUUUUUCUUUUACUUAGGAGCACUAAAGAAGUAACCACAGAAAAUUUAAGCUUAAACAAGUGAAAGACGUGGCCUGUGGAAUUUUCUGAAAAUUGCGAAAAAUGUGAAAAAACAUCACGAGGUGAAAACUCAAACUUCGGAGACAAAUUUGGAGAAUCUAAAAUUUUCAAACCCGCCAAAGGCACCAAAGGCAUGGACAGACAGAUACGAAAUUUUUUUCUGAUCGAUUUUGAUAUAUGGAACGUUGAAAUCGGAGUUCGUAUACGAAAGUUAUGGCUGUUUUACGAACGGACUCCGAAUUAGAGGAUAAAACGGUGCGAAAGUGGGGAAAAUUUGCGGCGGUGGCUAGUAAUUGAUGGAAACGGUAAGGAAAUAGACACGAACUGGACUCCAAACAACACUGUGGACUCUGAAACUGAAAUAUACAAAGGCUAUGGCGCGGAAGGGUUGUAGGACAGAAAAAUGAUAUGGCACUGGACAUAUGGGACGAACACAAGAACACUCGAAACUAAGAGUAGAUGUGAACCUAACGGUAUACCGGAAUCUUUGAUUACCACUUGAUGAGAACAAGGGUGGCUCGAUCUUCCGAAAUGUUCUGGUAACUCGAUUUGGUGGAGACGAGACACAAACCGAUCCGGCUUCCGAACAACACGAGCUGAAACCCUGCAAUUUUUCUUAUUUUUUUUAAUAUAUUUCUUUUACUUAGGAGCACGAAAGAAGUAACCACAGAAAAUUUAAGCUUAAACAAGUGAAAGACGUGGCCUGCGGAAUUUUGUGAAGAUUGUGAAAAAUGUGAAAAAAAACUUCAUGAGGUGAAAAAUCAAACUUAGGAGGCGAAUUUGGAGAUUCUAAAAUUUUCAGACCCACCAAAGGCGUGGAUAUAUAGAUCCAAAAAUUUUUUCUAAUCGAUUUUGAUAUACGGAACGUUGAAACCAGAGUUCGUACGUGAAUGUUAUGGCUGUUUUACGAACGGACUCCAAAUUAGAGGAAAAACGGUCCGAAAGUGGGAAAAAUUUGCGGUGGUGGCUAGAAAUUGAUGGAAACGGUGGCGAAAAACACACGAACUAGACUCUAACAAGACCUCGACCAGGACACAAACUCAACACUGCAGACUCUGAAACUGAAAUAUGCAAAGGCUACGACGCAGAAGGGUUGUAGGGUAGGAAAACGGUAUGGCACUGGACAUAUGGGACGAACACAAAAACACUCAAAACUAAGAGUAGAUGUGAACCUAAUGGUAUACGUGAAGCUUUGAUUACCACUUGAUGAGAACAAGGGUGGACCGAUCUUUCGAAAUGUUCUGGUAACUCGAUUUGGUAGAGACGAGACAAAAACCAAUCCGGCCUCCGAACAAUCCAAUAACCUACAAUUUUUUUUAUAAUUUUCUUUUACUUAGGAGCACUAAAGAAGUAACCAUAGAAAAUUUGAGCUUAAACAAGUGAAAGACGUGGCCUGCAGAAUUUUGUGAAGAUUGAGAAAAAUGUGAAAAAAACUUCACGAGGUGAAAACUCAAUCUUUGGAGGUGAAUUUGGAGAUUUUGAAAUUUUCAAACCCGCCAAGCGCAGAUCCGAAAUUUUUUUCUGGUAGAUUUUGAUAUAUGGAACGUUGAAAUCGGAGUUCGUAUGCGAAAGUUACUGCUUUUUACGAACGGACUACGAAUUAGAGGACAAAACAGUGCGAAAGUGGGGAAAAUUUGCGGCGGUGGAUAGAAAUUGAUGAAAACAGUGAGGAAAUACAGACGAACUGGACUCCACAAACAACAAUGUGGACUCUGAAACUAAAAUAUGCAAAGGCUAUGGCGCGGAAGGGUUGUAGGACAAGAAAACGAUAUGGCACUGGACAUAUGGGACGAACACAAGAACACUCGAAACUAAGGGUAGAUGUGAACCUAACGGUAUAUCUGAAUCUUUGAUUACCACUUGAUGAGAACAAGGGUGGCCCGAUCUUCCGAAAGGUUCUGGUAACUCGAUUUGGUGGAAACGAGACACAAACCGAUACGGCUUCCGAACAACACGAGCCGAAACCCUAUAAUUUUUCUUAUUUUUUUAAUAUUUUUCUUUUAGUUAGGAGCACUAAAGAACUAACCAUAGAAAAUUUGAAUUUAAAGAAGUGAAGGCGUGGCCUGCGGAAUUUUCUGAAGAUUGUGAAAAAUGUGAAAAAAACUUCUUGAUGUGAAAACUCAAAAUUCGGAGGCGAAUUUGGAGAUUCUAAAAUUUUCAAACCCACCAAAGGCGUGGAUAUAUAGAUCCAAAAAUUUUUUCUAAUUGAUUUUGAUAUACGGAACAUUGAAACCGGAGUUCGUAUGCGAAAGUUAUGGCUGUUUUACGAACGGACUCCAAAUUAGAGGACAGAACGGUCCGAAAGUGAGAAAAAUUUGCGGCGGUGGCUAGAAAUUGAUGGAAACGGUGGGAAAAAAUACACAAACUGGACUCUAACAGGACCUAACCAGCAACAAGACCUCAGCCAAGUCACAAACUCAAUACUGCGGACUCUGAAACUGAAAUAUGCAAAGGCUAUGGCGCGGAAGGGUUGUAGGACAAGAAAACGAUAUGGCACUGGACUUAUGGGACGAACAUAAGAACACUCGAAACUAAGGGUAGAUGUGAACCUAACGGUAUACCUGAAGUUUUGAUUACCACUUGAUGAGAACAAGGGUGGCCCGAUCUUCCGAAAGGUUCUGGUAACUCUUGAUUUGGUGGAGACGAGACACAAAUCGAUCCGGUUUUCGAACAACACGAUCCGAAUCCCUGUAAUUUUUUUGUUAUUUUUUUGAUAUUUUUCUGUAACUUAGGAGCACUAAAGAAGUAACCACAGAAAAUUUGAGCUUAAACAAGUGAAAGACGUGGCAUGUGGAAUUUUCUGAAGAUUGCGAAAAAUGUGAAAAAACAUCACUAGGUGAAAACUCAAACUUUGAAGGCAAAUUUGGAGACUCUAAAAUUUUCAAAACCGGUAAAGGCAUGGAUAGACGGAUCCAAAAAUUUUUUGAUCAAUUUUGAUAUAUGGAAUGUUGAAAUCGGAGUUCGUAUGUGAAAGUUAUAGCUGUUUUACGAACGGACUCUAAAUUAGAGGACAAAACGGUUCGAAAGUGGAAAAAAUUUGCAGCGGUGGCUAAAAAUUGAUGGAAACGGUGAGGAAAACCACACGAACUGGACUCGAACAAGACCUAACCAGAAACAAGACCUCGACAAGGACACAAACUCAACAAUGCAGACUCUAAAACUGAAAUAUGCAAAGGCUAUGGCGCGAAAGGGUUGUAAGACAGGAAAACGAUAUGUCAUUGGACUUAUGGGACGAACACAAGAACACCCGAAACUAAGGGUAGAUAUGAAUCUAACGGUAUACCUCAACCUUUGAUUACCACUUGAUGAGAACAUGGGUGGUCCACUCUUCCGAAAGGUUCUGGUAACUCUCGAUUUGGUGGAGACGAGGCACAAAUCGAUCCGGCUUCCGAACAACACGAUCCGAAACCCUACAAUUUUUUUUAUUUUUUUGAUAUUUUUCUUUUGCUUAGGAGCACUAAAGAAGUAACCUUAGAAAUUUGAGCUUAAACAAGUGAAAGACGUGACCUGCGGAAUUUUCUGAAGAUUGAGAAAAAUAUGAAAAAAACUUCACGAGAUGAAAACUCAAUCUUCGGAUGCGAAUUUGGAGAUUUUAAAAUUUUCAAACCCGCCAAGCGCAGCGACAGACAGACCCAAAAUGUUUUCUGAUCGAUUUUGAUAUAUGGAACGUUGAAAUCGGAGUUCGUAUGCGAACGUUAUGGCUGUUUUAAGAACGGACUCCGAAUUAGAGGACAAAACGGUGCGAAAGUGGGGAAAAUUUGCGGCGGUGGCUAUAAAUUGAUGGAAACGGUAAGGAAAUACACAUGAACUGGACUUGGAAACAACAUUGUGGACUCUGAAACUGAAAUAUACAAAGGCUAUGGCGCGGAAGGGUUGUAGGACAGGAAAAUGAUAUGACACUGGACAUAUGGGACGAACACAAGAACACUCGAAACUAAGGGUAGAUGUGAACCUAACGGUAUAAUUGAAUCUUUGAUUACCACUUGAUGAGAACAAGAGUAGCCCGAUCUUCCAAAAGGUUCUGGUAACUCGAUUUGGUGGAGACGAGACAAACCGAUCCGGCUUCCGAACAACACGAUCCGAAACCCAGCAAUUUUUCUUAUUUUUUUUAAUAUUUUUCUUUUACUUAGGAGCACUAAAGACGUAACCACAGAAAAUUUGAGCUUAAACAAGUGAAAGACGUGGCCCGCGGAAUUUUCUGAAGAUUGAGAAAAAUGUGAAAAAAACUUCACGACGUGAAAACUCAAUCUUUGGAGGUGAAUUUGGAGAUUUUAAAAUUUUCAAACCCGCCAAGCGCAGGGACAAAUAGAUCUGAAUUUUUUUUCGAUCGAUUUUGAUAUAUGGAACGUUGAAUUCGGAGUUCGUAUGCGAAAGUUAUGGCUUUUUUACGAACGGACUCCGAAUCAGAGGACAAAACGAUGCGAAAGUGGGGAAAAUUUGUAGCGGUGGCUAGAAAUUGAUGGAAACGGUGAGGAAAUACACACGAAGUUGACUCCACAAACAACACUGCGGACUCUGAAACUGUAAUAUGCAAAGACUAUGGUGCGGAAGGGUUGUAUGACAGGAAAACGAUAUGGCACUAGACAUAUGGGACGAACAUAAGGACACUCGAAACUAAGGGUAGAUGUGAACCUAACGGUAUACCUGAAGCUUUGAUUACCACUUCAUGAGAAAAAGGGUGGACCGAUCUUUCGAAAGGUUCUGGUAACUCGAUUUGGUAGAGACGAGACAAAAACCGAUCCGGCUUCCGGACUACACGAUCCGAAACCCUACAAUUUUUUUUAUUAUUUUUUAUAAUUUCAUUUUACAUAGCAGCACUAAAGAAGUAACCACAGAAAAUUUAAGCUUAAAUAAGUGAAAGACGUGGCCUGCGGAAUUUUCUGAAGAUUGUGAAAAAUGUGAAAAAAACUUCAUGAGGUAAAAAAUCAAACUUAGGAGGCAAAUUUGGAGAUAUUAAAAUUUUCAAACCCACCAAAGGUGUGGAUAUAUAGAUCCAAAAAUUUUUUCUAAUCGAUUUUGAUAUACGGAACGUUGAAACCAGAGUUCGUACGUGAAUGUUAUGGCUGUUUUAUGAACAGACUCCAAAUUAGAGGAAAAACGGUCCGAAAGUGGGAAAAAUUUACGAUGGUGGCUAGAAAUUGAUAGAAAUGGUGGCGAAAAACACACGAACUAGACUCUAACAAGACCUCGACCAGGACACAAACUCAACACUGCAGACUCUAAAACUGAAAUAUGCAAAGGCUAUGGCGCAGGAGGGUUGUAGGGCAGGAAAACGGUAUGGCACUGGACUUAAUGGACGAACACAAGAAUACUCAAAACUAAGAGAAGAUGUGAACCUAAUAUUAUACCUGAAGCUUUGAUUACCAUUUGAUGAGAACAAGGGUGGACCGAUCUUUCGAAAGGUUCUGGUAACUCGAUUUGGUAGAGACGAGACAAAACCGAUCUGGCCUCCGAACAACACGAUCCGAAACCCUACAAUUUUUUUUAUAAUUUUCUUUUACUUAGGAGCACUAAAGAAGUAACCAUAGAAAAUUUGAGCUUAAACAAGUGAAAGACGUGGCCCGCGGAAUUUUUUGAAGAUUGAGAAAAAUGUGAAAAAAACUUCACGAUGUGAAAACUCAAUCUUUGGAGGUGAAUUUGGAGAUUUUAAAAUUUUCAAACCCGCCAAGCGCAGGGACAAAUAGAUCUGAAUUUUUUUCGAUCGAUUUUGAUAUAUGGAACGUUGAAUUCGGAGUUCGUAUGCGAAAGUUAUGGCUUUUUUACGAACGGACUCGGAAUCAGAGGACAAAACGAUGCGAAAGUGGGGAAAAUUUGUAGCGGUGGCUAGAAAUUGAUGGAAACGGUGAGGAAAUACACACGAAGUUGACUCCACAAACAACACUGCGGACUCUGAAACUGUAAUAUGCAAAGACUAUGGUGCGGAAGGGUUGUAUGACAGGAAAACGAUAUGGCACUAGACAUAUGGGACGAACACAAGAACACUCGAAACUCAGGGUAGAUGUGCACCUAACGGUAUACCUGAAUCUCUGAUUACCACUUGAUGAGAACAAGGGUGGCCCGAUCUUCCAAAAGGUUCUGGUAACUCGAUUUGGUGGAGACGAGACACAAACCGAUCCGGCUUCCGAACAACACGAGCCGAAAUCCUGCAAUUUUUCUUAUUUUUUAAAUAUUUUUCUUUUACUUAGGAGCGCUAAAGAAGUAACCACAGAAAAUUUGAAUUUAAAGAAGUGAAAGACGUGGCCUGCGGAAUUUCCUGAAGAUUGUGAAAAAUGUGAAAAAAAACUUCAUGAGGUGAAAACUCAAAAUUUGGAGGCGAAUUUGGAGAUUCUAAAAUUUUCAAACCCACCAAAGGCGUGGAUAUAUAGAACCAAAAAAAUUUUCUAAUCGAUUUUGAUAUACGGAACAUUGAAACCGGAGUUCGUAUGUGAAAGUUAUGGUUGUUUUACGAACGGACUCCAAAUUAUAGAACAAAACGAUCCGAAAGUGGGAAAAAUUUGCGGUGGUGGCUAGAAAUUGAUGUAAAUGUUGGCGAAAAUCACACGAACUGGACUCUAACAUGACCUAACCAGCAACAAGGCCUCAGCCAAGACACAAACUCAAUACUGUGAACUCUGAAACUGAAAUAUGCAAAGGCUAUGGCGCGGAAGGGUUGUAGGACAGGAAAACGAUAUGGCACUGGACUUAUGGGACGAACAUAAGAACACUCGAAACUAAGGGUAGAUGUGAACCUAACGGUAUACCUGAAGCUUUGAUUACCACUUCAUGAGAAAAAGGGUGGACCGAUCUUUCGAAAGGUUCUGGUAACUCGAUUUGGUAGAGACGAGACAAAAACCGAUCCGGCUUCCGAACAACACGAUCCGAAACCCUACAAUUUUUUUUAUUAUUUUUUAUAAUUUCAUUUUACAUAGCAGCACUAAAGAAUUAACCACAGAAAAUUUAAGCUUAAAUAAGUGAAAGACGUGGCCUGCGGAAUUUUCUGAAGAUUGUGAAAAAUGUGAAAAAAAACUUCAUGAGGUAAAAAAUCAAACUUAGGAGGCAAAUUUGGAGAUAUUAAAAUUUUCAAACCCACCAAAGGCGUGGAUAUAUAGAUCCAAAAAUUUUUUCUAAUCGAUUUUGAUAUACGGACCGUUGAAACCAGAGUUCGUACGUGAAUGUUAUGGCUGUUUUAUGAACAGACUCCAAAUUAGAGGAAAAAACGGUCCGAAAGUGGGAAAAAUUUACGAUGGUGGCUAGAAAUUGAUAGAAAUGGUGGCGAAAAACACACGAACUAGACUCUAACAAGACCUCGACCAGGACACAAACUCAACACUGCAGACUCUAAAACUGAAAUGUGCAAAGGCUAUGGCGCAGAAGGGUUGUAGGGCACGAAAACGGUAUGGCACUGGACUUAAUGGACGAACACAACAAUACUCAAAACUAAGAGAAGAUGUGAACCUAAUAUUAUACCUGAAGCUUUGAUUACCAUUUGAUGAGAACAAGGGUGGACCGAUCUUUCGAAAGGUUCUGGUAACUCGAUUUGGUAGAGACGAGACAAAAUCGAUCCGGCCUCCGAACAACACGAUCCGAAACUCUACAAUUUUUUUUAUAAUUUUCUUUUACUUAGGAGCACUAAAGAAGUAACCAUAGAAAAUUUGAGCUUAAACAAGUGAAAGACGUGGCCUGCGGAAUUUUCUGAAGUUUGAGAAAAAUGUGAAAAAAACUUCACGAGGUGAAAACUCAAUCUUUGGAGGCGAAUUUGGAGAUUUUAAAAUUUUCAAACCCGCCAAGCGCAGAUCCGAAAUUUUUUUCUGAUCGAUUUUGAUAUAUGGAACGUUGAAAUCGGAGUUCGUAUGCGAAAGUUAUGGCUUUUUUAUGAACGGACUCCGAAUUAGAGAACAAAACAGUGCGAAAGUGGGGAAAAUUUGGGCGGUGGCUAGAAAUUGAUGGAAACAGUGAGGAAAUACACACGAAGUUGACUCCACAAACAACACUGCGGACUCUGAAACUGUAAUAUCCAAAGGCUAUGGUGCAGAAGGGUUGUAGGACAGGAAAACGAUAUGGUACUAGAUAUAUGGGACGAAGACAAGAAUACUCGAAACUCAGGGUAGAUGUGAACCUAACGGUAUACCUGAAUCUCUGAUUACCACUUGAUGAGAACAAGGGUGGCCCGAUCUUCCAAAAGGUUCUGGUAACUCGAUUUGGUGGAGACGAGACACAAACCGAUCUGGCUUCCGAACAACACGAGCCAAAACCCUGCAAGUUUUCUUAUUUUUUAAAUAUUUUUUUUUACUUAGGAGCACUAAAGAAGUAACCAUAGAAAAUUUCAAUUUAAAGAAGUGGAAGACGUGGCCUGCGGAAUUUUCUGAAGAUUGUGAAAAAUGUGAAAAAAAAAUUCAUGAGGUGAAAACUCAAAAUUCGGAAGCGAAUUUGGAGAUUCUAAAAUUUUCAAACCCACCAAAGGCGUGGAUAUAUAGAUCCAAAAAAAUUUUCUAAUUGAUUUUGAUAUACGAAACAUUGAAACCGGAGUUCGUAUGUAAAAGUUAUGGCUGCUUUACGAACGGACUCCACAUUAUAGAACAAAACGAUCCGAAAGUGGAAAAAAUUUGCGGUGGUGGCUAGAAAUUGAUGGAAAUGUUGGCGAAAAACACACGAACUGGACUCUAACAGGACCUAACCAGCAACAAGGCCUCAGCCAAGACACAAACUCAAUACUGUGGACUCUGAAACUGAAAUAUUUAAAGGCUAUGGCGCGGAAGGGUUGUAGGACAGGAAAACGAUAUGGCACUGGACUUAUGGGACGAACAUAAGAACACUCGAAACUAAGGGUAGAUGUGAACCUAACGGUAUACCUGAAGCUUUGAUUACCACUUCAUGAGAAAAAGGGUGGACCGAUCUUUCGAAAGGUUUUGGUAACUCGAUUUGGUAGAGACGAGACAAAAACCGAUCCGGCUUCCGAACAACACGAUCCGAAACCCUACAAUUUUUUUUAUUUUUUUUAUAAUUUAAUUUUACUUAGGAGCACUAAAGAAGUAACCACAGAAAAUUUAAGCUUAAACAAGUGAAAGACGUGGCCUGCGGAAUUUUCUGAAGAUUGUGAAAAAUGUGAAAAAAAACUUCAUGAGGUGAAAAAUCAAACUUAGGAGGCAAAUUUGGAGAUUUUAAAAUUUUCAAACCCACCAAAGGCGUGGAUAUAAAGAUCCAAAAAAUUUUUCUAAUCGAUUUUGAUAUACGGAACGUUGAAACCAGAGUUCGUACGUGAAUGUUAUGGCUGUUUUAUGAACGGACUCCAAAUUAGAGGAAAAACGGUCCGAAAGUGGGAAAAAUUUACGGUGGUGGCUAGAAAUUGAUGGAAAUGGUGGCGAAAAACACACGAACUAGACUCUAACAAGACCUCGACCAGGACACAAACUCAACACUGCAGACUCUAAAACUGAAAUGUGCGAAGGCUAUGGCGCAGAAGGGUUGUAGGGCAGGAAAACGGUAUGGCACUGGACUUAAUGGACGAACACAAGAAUACUCAAAACUAAGGGAAGAUGUGAACCUAAUGUUAUACCUGAAGCUUUGAUUACCAUUUGAUGAGAACAAGGGUGGACCGAUCUUUCGAAAGGUUCUGGUAACUCGAUUUGGUAGAGACGAGACAAAAACCGAUCCGGCCUCCGAACAACACGAUCCGAAACCCUACAAUUUUUUUAAAAUUUUCUUUUACUUAGGAGCACUAAAGAAGUAACCAUAGAAAAUUUGAGCUUAAACAAGUGAAAGACGUGGCCUGCGGAAUUUUCUGAAGUUUGAGAAAAAUGUGAAAAAACUUCACGAGGUGAAAACUCAAUCUUUGGAGGCGAAUUUGGAGAUUUUAAAAUUUUCAAACCCACCAAUCGCGGAUCCGAAAUUUUUUUCUGAUCGAUUUUGAUAUAUGGAACGUUGAAAUCGGAGUUCGUAUGCGAAAGUUAUGCCUUUUUUACGAACGGACUCCGAAUUAGAGGACAAAAUUGUGCGAAAGUGGGGAAAAUUUGCGGCGGUGGCUAGAAAUGGAUGGAAACGGUGAGGAAAUACACACGAACUGGACUCCACAAACAACACUGCGGACUCUGAAACUAAAAUAUGCAAAGGCUAGUGCGUUGAAGGUUGUAGGACAGAAAAACGAUAUGGCACUGGACAUAUGGGACGAACACAAGAACACUCGAAACUAAAGGUAGAUGUGAACCUAACGGUAUACCUGAAUCUUUGAUUACCACUUGAUGAGAACAAGGGUGGUCCGAUCUUUCGAAAGGUUCUGGUAACUCGAUUUGGUGGAGACGAGACACAAACCGAUCCGGCUUCCGAACAACAAGAUCCGAAACCCUACAAUUUUUUUAUUUUUUUAUAAUUUUCUUUUACUUAGGAGCACUAAAGAAGUAACCAUAGAAAAUUUGAGCUUUAACAAGGGAAAGACGUGGCCUGCGGAAUUUUCUAAAGAUUGAGAAAAAUAUGAAAAAAACUUCACGAGGUGAAAACUCAAUCUUUGGAGGUGAAUUUGGAGAUUUUGAUAUUUUCAAACCCACCAAGCGCAGGGGCAGACAGAUCCGAAAAUGUUUUUGUGAUCGAUUUUGAUAUAUGGAACGUUGAAAUCAGAGUUCGUAUGCGAAAGUUAUGGCUUUUUUAUGAACGGACUCCAAAUUAGUGGAGAAAACGGUGCGAAAGUGGGGAAAAUUUGUGGCGGUGGCUAGAAAUUGAUGAAAACGGUGAGGAAAUACAGACGAACUAGACUCCACAAACAACACUGUGGACUCUGAAACUGAAAUAUGCAAAGGCUAUGGCACGAAAGGGUUGUAGGACAGGAAAGCGAUAUGGCACUGGACAUAUGGGACGAACACAAGAACACUCAAAACUAAAGGUAGAUGUGAACCUAACGGUAUACCUGAAUCUUUGAUUACCACUUGAUGAGAACAAGGGGGCCCGAUCUUCCGAAAGGUUCUGGUAACUCGAUUUGGUGGAGACGAGACACAAACCGAUCCGGCUUUCGAACAACACGAGCCAAAACCCUACAAUUUUUCUUAUUUUUUUAAUAUUUUUCUUUUACUUUGGAGCACUGAAGAAGUAAGCACAGAAAAUUUGAGCUUAAACAAGUGAAAGACGGGGCCUGCUGAAUUUUCUGAAGAUUGUGAAAAAUGUGAAAAAAACUUCAUGAGGUGAAAAGUCAAACUUCAGAGGCGAAUUUAGAGAUUCUAAAAUUUUGAAACCCACCAAAGCAUGGAAAUAUAUAUCCAAAAAAAUUUUUCUAAUCGAUUUUGAUAUACAGAACGUUGAAACCGGAGUUCGUAUGUGAAAGUUACGGCUGUUUUACGAACGGACUCCAAAUUACACGACAAAACGGUCUGAAAGUGGGAAAAAUUUGCGGUGGUGGCUAGAAAUUGAUGGAAAUGGUGGCCAAAAACACACGAACUAGACUCUAAGAAGACUUAACCAGCAACAAGACCUCGACCAGGACACAAACUCAACAAUGCGGACUCUAAAACUGAAAUUUGCAAAGGCUAUGGCGCGGAAGGGUUGUAGGACAGGAAAACGAUAUGGCACUGGACUUUUGGGACGAACACAAGAACACUCAAAACUAAGGGUAGAUGUGAACCUAAUGGUAUACGUGAAGCUUUGAUUACCACUUGAUGAGAACAAGGCUGGACUGAUCCUUCGAAAGGUUCUGGUAACUCGAUUUGGUAGAGACGAGACAAAAACCGAUCUGGCUUCCGAACAACACGAUCCGAAACCCUACAAUUUUUUUUAUUUUUUUGAUAUUUCUCUUUUACUUAGGAGCACUGAAGAAGUAACCAUAUAAAAUUUCAGCUUAAACAAGUGAAAGACGUGGGCCUGCGGAAUUUUCUAAAGAUUGAGAAAAAUGUGAAAAAAACUUCAAGAGGAGAAAACUCAAUCGUUGGAGGCGAAUUUGGAGAUUUUAAAAUUUUCAAACCCGCCAAGCGCAGGGACAGACAAAUCCGAAAUUUUUUUCUCAUUAAUUUUGAUAUAUGGAACGUUGAAAUCGGAGUUCGUAUGCGAAAGUUAUGGCUUUUUUACGAACGGACUCCGAAUUAGAGGACAAAACGGUGCGAAAGUGGGGAAAAUUUGCAGUGGUGGCUAGAAAUUGAUGGAAAUGGUGAGGAAAUACACACGAACUGGACUCUAACAAGACCUAACCAGUGACAAGACCUCGACUAGGACACAAACAACACUGCAGACUCUGAAACUGAAAUAUGCAUAGGCUAUGACAUGGAUGGGUUGUAGGAAACAAAAACAAUAUGGCACUGGACUUAUGGGACGAACACAAGAACACUCGAAACUAAGGGUAGAUGUGAACCUAACGGUAUACCUGAAUCUUUGAUUACCACUUGAUAAGAACAAGGGUGGCCCGAUCUUCCAAAAGGUUCUGGUAACUCGAUUUGGUGGAGACGAGACACAAACCGAUCCGGCUUCAGAACAACACGAGCCGAAACCCUGUAAUUUUCUUAUAUUUUUGAUAUUUUUCUUUUACUUAGGAGCACCAAAAAAAUAACCAUAGAAAAUUUGAGCUUAAACAAGUGAAAGACGUGGCAUGCGGAAUUUUCUGAAGAUUGUGAAAACUGUGAAAAAAACUUCACGAGGUGAAAAGUCAAACUUCGGACGCGAAUUUGGAGAUUCUAAAAUUUUCAAACCUGCCAAAGGCAUGGAUAGAUAGAUCUAAAAAUUUUUUCAAAUCAAUUUUGAUAUUCGGAACAUUGAAACAGGAGUUCGUAUGCGAAAGUUAUGGUUGUUUUACGAAUGGACUCCAAAUUAGAGGACAAAACGGUCCAAAAGUGGGAAAAUUUUGCGGCGGUGGCUAGAAAUUGAUGGAAACGGUGGCGAAAAACAUACAAACUAGACUCUAACAAGACCUAACUAGCAACAAGACUUCGACCAGGGCACAAACUCAACACUGCGGACUCUGAAACUGAAAUAUGCAAAGGCUAUGGCGCAGAAGGGUUGUAGGACAGGAAAACGAUAUGGCACUGGACUUAUGGGACGAACAAAAGAACACUCAAAACUAAGGGUAGAUGUGAACCUAAUGGUAUACCUGAAGCUUUGAUUACCGCUUGAUGAGAAGAAGGGUGGCCCGAUCUUUCGAAAGGUUCUGGUAACUCGAUUUGGUGGAGACGAGACAAAAACCAAUCUGGCUUCCAAACAACACGAUCCGAAACCCUACAAUUUUUUUUAUAUUUUUGAUAUUUUUUUUACGUAGGAGCACUAAAGAAGUAACCAUAGAAAAUUUGAGCUUAAACAAGUGAAAGACGUGGCCUGUGGAAUUUUCUGAAGAUUGAGAAAAAUGUGAAAAAAAUUCAGGAGGUGAAAACUCAAUUUUUGGAGGCGAAUUUGCAGAUUUUAAUAUUUUCAAACCCGCCAAGCACAGGG